This is a long non-coding RNA of Populus euphratica (Euphrates poplar), 886 nucleotides long. RefSeq lists it as uncharacterized. The transcript has 3 exons. The record is from RefSeq and is a predicted model, not a curated record. NCBI's taxonomy places the organism in Eukaryota, Viridiplantae, Streptophyta, Magnoliopsida, Malpighiales, Salicaceae.
CCCGAAGUUGCCUAUUUCGAAGAAUAAGCUCUGGGCCAAAGUUACAUAUUCAGGACACACCUGCUCUGCUGACAUGAUCUUAUUUCUUUUGUAUCACUCUUCCUCUGCCAGCCAUCUUGAAGUUUAAUGCAACCCCUCACCUCUCUCUUCUCGACUGGCAAGUCUGUCUCUUUCUCUUGUUUUGAAAUUUAAGACUGGAAGGCUUGUGAGCGUCCCUUUUGCUCUUUUAUGUUGUUCCUCUUGCACUCCUCUUUUUCUGCCAGCUAACGUAGAGAACACACCUCUAACCCCUCUGAAAACACUAUAUAACACAAGGCAAUUCCAAGCAUAUUGUAUCUGACAGACCAGACACACAAAACAGAUCGCAUCCACUUUCAAAACCCUUUUCAACCGUGGAUAAUCUGACCUGACUCGAACUCCCUAGCCCAGCUUCACCUCCUCCUCCGACUGUACAUCCUUGUAUUACUCCUGCUUUGGCUCCACAUCCAGAUACGCCUCCAGUUCAUAACCCCACUCCGUCUCCGGUUCCGUUUCCUCUACUACAACUACUCUCCAUUCCAUCAGAAUGGAGCGCUGAAAUGUUUCAGAAUUUAAAGAGAAACGAAACAGCCAGCGGAACGGGAGAUGGAGUGGGUUAUGAACAAACUAGAGCCCAAGCUGAAGCUAUUACUUGAGGUGGAUCUGGAUGAAGGGCCAGAGCUGGAAGGAGGUGAAGCUGGGUUAGAGAGUUCAGGUCAGGUCUGGAUGCAGGGCCGGAGCUGGAUCCGGAGAAGAAGGUAACGCUGCGUUAGAGAGUUCAGGUCAGGUCGGCUUGGCUUACACAUGGUUGAGAGAAGAGUUGUGAGAGUGAAUGUAAACUGUUUUAUAUAUUUUAUAUUGUUUAAAU